CGAGCGGUAUUUCUUCUUCGGGAGAGAGAGAGCGGCGUACGGGUGCGGAACACGUGUGCAACCUGCCUUUAUCUAGAGGAUAGCCUUUCGAAAGGAAGAUUAAUACUCUAUAAUAUAUUAAUUGGCAUCAAUUGAUAUUGAAAACUCCGGUGGAUAGAGAUGGGCACGCGCAAGAUUAGCUAGUUGGUGAGGUAACGGCUCACCAAGGCAAUGAUCUUUAGGGGGCCUGAGAGGGUGAUCCCCCACACUGGUACUGAGACACGGACCAGACUCCUACGGGAGGCAGCAGUGAGGAAUAUUGGUCAAUGGGUGCAAGCCUGAACCAGCCAUCCCGCGUGAAGGAUUAAGGUCCUAUGGAUUGUAAACUUCUUUUGUAUAGGGAUAAACCUACCCUCGUGAGGGUAGCUGAAGGUACUAUACGAAUAAGCACCGGCUAACUCCGUGCCAGCAGCCGCGGUAAUACGGAGGGUGCAAGCGUUAUCCGGAUUUAUUGGGUUUAAAGGGUCCGUAGGCGGACUUAUAAGUCAGUGGUGAAAGCCUGUCGCUUAACGAUAGAACUGCCAUUGAUACUGUAAGUCUUGAGUAUAUUUGAGGUAGCUGGAAUAGGUAGUGUAGCGGUGAAAUGCAUAGAUAUUACUUAGAACACCAAUUGCGAAGGCAGGUUAC
RNAcentral lists this ribosomal RNA (666 nucleotides) under uncultured Flavobacteriales bacterium. RNAcentral's name for it is "bacterial SSU rRNA". It matches the Rfam family "Bacterial small subunit ribosomal RNA", at positions 63 to 729 of the family's 1533-position model. The record is from RNAcentral. Lineage: Bacteria; Pseudomonadati; Bacteroidota; Flavobacteriia; Flavobacteriales.